UGCAGUCGACGAGACCUUCGGGUCUAGUGGCGCACGGGUGCGUAACGCGUGGGAACCUGCCUUUAGGUUCGGAAUAACUCAGAGAAAUUUGAGCUAAUACCGGAUAAUGUCUUCGGACCAAAGAUUUAUCGCCUUUAGAUGGGCCCGCGUUGGAUUAGCUAGUUGGUGGGGUAAAGGCCUACCAAGGCGACGAUCCAUAGCUGGUCUGAGAGGAUGAUCAGCCACACUGGGACUGAGACACGGCCCAGACUCCUACGGGAGGCAGCAGUGGGGAAUAUUGGACAAUGGGCGAAAGCCUGAUCCAGCAAUGCCGCGUGAGUGAUGAAGGCCUUAGGGUUGUAAAGCUCUUUUACCAGGGAUGAUAAUGACAGUACCUGGAGAAUAAGCUCCGGCUAACUCCGUGCCAGCAGCCGCGGUAAUACGGAGGGAGCUAGCGUUGUUCGGAAUUACUGGGCGUAAAGCGCACGUAGGCGGCUUUUUAAGUCAGGGGUGAAAUCCCGGGGCUCAACCCCGGAACUGCCCUUGAAACUGGGAAGCUAGAAUCUUGGAGAGGCGAGUGGAAUUCCGAGUGUAGAGGUGAAAUUCGUAGAUAUUCGGAAGAACACCAGUGGCGAAGGCGACUCGCUGGACAAGUAUUGACGCU
This 643-nucleotide ribosomal RNA is filed under the name bacterium SL4.10. RNAcentral describes it as "bacterial SSU rRNA". It matches the Rfam family "Bacterial small subunit ribosomal RNA", at positions 56 to 747 of the family's 1533-position model. The record is from RNAcentral.